UGGGGAGUGAUGACAAUGGGGGCAACCCUGAUCCAGCCAUGCCGCGUGAGUGAUGAAGGCCUUCGGGUUGUAAAGCUCUUUUGGCGGGGACGAUGAUGACGGUACCCGGCAGAAUAAGCCCCGGCUAACUUCGUGCCAGCAGCCGCGGUAAGACGAAGGGGGGCUAGCGUUGUUCGGAAUUACUGGGCGUAAAGCGAGUGUAGGCGGUUGCCGUAGUCAGGUGUGAAAGCCUUGAGCUCAACUCAAGAAAUGCACUUGUACUGGGUGACUAGAGGACCGGAGAGGAUAGUGGAAUUCCCAGUGUAGUGGUGAAAUNCGUAGAGAUUGGGGAAGAACACCAGUGGCGAAGGCGGCUAUCUGGACGGUUACUGACGCU
Molecule: ribosomal RNA, 376 nt
Filed under: uncultured bacterium
Lineage: Bacteria
Description: partial 16S ribosomal RNA
Rfam family: Bacterial small subunit ribosomal RNA
Source: RNAcentral